AGUGAACGCUGGCGGCAGGCCUAACACAUGCAAGUCGAGCGGCAGCGCGGGGGCAACCCUGGCGGCGAGCGGCGGACGGGUGAGGAAUUCGUCGGAAUCUGCCUUUUUGUGGGGGAUAACGUAGGGAAACUUACGCUAAUACCGCAUACGUCCUACGGGGGAAAGUGGGGGACCGCAAGGCCUCACGCAGAAAGAUGAGCCGACGACCGAUUAGCUAGUUGGUGGGGUAAAGGCCCACCAAGGCGACGAUCGGUAGCUGGUCUGAGAGGAUGAUCAGCCACACUGGGACUGAGACACGGCCCAGACUCCUACGGGAGGCAGCAGUGGGGAAUAUUGGACAAUGGGCGCAAGCCUGAUCCAGCCAUGCCGCGUGUGUGAAGAAGGCCUUCGGGUUGUAAAGCACUUUUGUCCGGAAAGAAAUCCCUGGAGCUAAUACCUUCGGGGGAUGACGGUACCGGAAGAAUAAGCACCGGCUAACUUCGUG
This 484-nucleotide ribosomal RNA is filed under the name uncultured bacterium. RNAcentral describes it as "partial 16S ribosomal RNA". It matches the Rfam family "Bacterial small subunit ribosomal RNA", at positions 29 to 507 of the family's 1533-position model. The record is from RNAcentral.